This 497-nucleotide ribosomal RNA is filed under the name uncultured bacterium. Its description in RNAcentral is "partial 16S ribosomal RNA". It matches the Rfam family "Bacterial small subunit ribosomal RNA", at positions 28 to 507 of the family's 1533-position model. The record is from RNAcentral.
GAUGAACGCUGGCGGCGUGCCUAAUACAUGCAAGUCGAGCGAACAGACGAGAAGCUUGCUCCUCUGACGUUAGCGGCGGACGGGUGAGUAACACGUGGAUAACCUACCUAUAAGACUGGGAUAACUUCGGGAAACCGGAGCUAAUACCGGAUAAUAUAUUGAACCGCAUGGUUCAAUAGUGAAAGACGGUUUUGCUGUCACUUAUAGAUGGAUCCGCGCCGCAUUAGCUAGUUGGUAAGGUAACGGCUUACCAAGGCGACGAUGCGUAGCCGACCUGUGAGGGGGGUCGGCCACACUGGAACUGGGACACGGUCCAGGCUCCUGCGGGAGGCAGCAGUAGGGAAUCUGCCGCAAUGGGCGAAAGCCUGACGGAGCAACGCCGCGUGAGUGAUGAAGGUCUUCGGAUCGUAAAACUCUGUUAUGAGGGAAGAACAAAUGUGUAAGUAACUAUGCACGUCUUGACGGUACCUAAUCAGAAAGCCCCGGCUAACUACGUG